Molecule: ribosomal RNA, 964 nt
Filed under: uncultured bacterium
Lineage: Bacteria
Description: bacterial SSU rRNA
Rfam family: Bacterial small subunit ribosomal RNA
Source: RNAcentral
AGAGUUUGAUCAUGGCUCAGGAUGAACGCUAGCGGCAGGCCUAAUACAUGCAAGUCGGACGGGAUUGGAGAGCUUGCUUUCCAUGAGAGUGGCGCACGGGUGCGUAACACGUAUGUAACCUACCUUUGUCAGGGGGAUAGCCUCUCGAAAGAGAGAUUAAGCCCGCAUAAAAUCACAUGGUGGCAUCACUAAAUGAUCAAAUAUUUAUAGGACAAAGAUGGGCAUGCGGAACAUUAGCUAGUUGGUAAGGUAACGGCUUACCAAGGCUACGAUGUUUAGGGGAUCUGAGAGGAUGACCCCCCACACUGGUACUGAGACACGGACCAGACUCCUACGGGAGGCAGCAGUAAGGAAUAUUGGUCAAUGGGCGAAAGCCUGAACCAGCCAUGCCGCGUGCAGGAAGACGGCCCUACGGGUUGUAAACUGCUUUUAUACGGGAAUAAACCUACUUACGUGUAAGUAGCUGAAUGUACUGUAAGAAUAAGGAUCGGCUAACUCCGUGCCAGCAGCCGCGGUAAUACGGAGGAUCCGAGCGUUAUCCGGAUUUAUUGGGUUUAAAGGGUGCGUAGGCGGCCUGUUAAGUCAGGGGUGAAAGACGGUAGCUUAACUAUCGCAGUGCCCUUGAUACUGAUGGGCUUGAAUGUACUUGAGGUAGGCGGAAUGUGACAAGUAGCGGUGAAAUGCAUAGAUAUGUCACAGAACACCAAUUGCGAAGGCAGCUUACUAAAGUAUGAUUGACGCUGAGGCACGAAAGCGUGGGGAUCAAACAGGAUUAGAUACCCUGGUAGUCCACGCCCUAAACGAUGAACACUCGAUGUUGGCGAUAUACGGUCAGCGUCUAAGCGAAAGCGUUAAGUGUUCCACCUGGGGAGUACGCCCGCAAGGGUGAAACUCAAAGGAAUUGACGGGGGCCCGCACAAGCGGAGGAGCAUGUGGUUUAAUUCGAUGAAACGGCGAGGAAACC